UACCAGCUCUUCGAGUGGUGUGGAUGUUUAUUGGGCCUAAAGCAUCCGUAGCUGGCUGGGCAAGUCCCCUGUUAAAUCCACCGAUUUAAUCGUUGGAGUGCGGGGGAUACUGUUCGGCUAGGGGACGGGAGAGGCAGACGGUAUUUUCGGGGUAGGGGUGAAAUCCUAUAAUCCCGAGAAGACCACCAGUGGCGAAGGCUGUCUGCUAGAACGCGCCCGACGGUGAGGGAUGAAAGCUGGGGGAGCGAACCGGAUUAGAUACCCGGGUAGUCCCAGCUGUAAACGAUGCAGGCUAGGUGUUUGGACGGCCACGUGCCGUUCUAGUGCCGCAGGGAAGCCGUUAAGCCUGCCGCCUGGGGAGUACGGCCGCAAGGCUGAAACUUAAAGGAAUUGGCGGGGGAGCACCACAAGGCGUGAAGCUUGCGGUUC
RNAcentral lists this ribosomal RNA (429 nucleotides) under uncultured archaeon. Its description in RNAcentral is "bacterial SSU rRNA". It matches the Rfam family "Archaeal small subunit ribosomal RNA", at positions 474 to 903 of the family's 1478-position model. The record is from RNAcentral.